CAGCAGCUCAGCCCACACUGAAGAAAGACAUGGCAAUACCACCACAGUUCUGUCUGCUGUUCAUCACAUUCUCUGUCCUGUUCCCUGCCAUGGCUGAUGACUUGUCGCCCAGGCAAUAAUAUCAGGAGAACCCAGGAGAGGGCCAUUUGUGAUUGGCCAGCUAAACUGCCUCAUGAAUGACCACAUGAACACCGAUCUGGUGCUCUGAAAGAGCACUGAUGAUUGGCCAGAAAUGGUGCUGACGUCACAAGAAAGCAUUGUGAUCAAUCAGGGCUGUCAGAAAAGUCAGGCAGCAGCUCAGCCCGCACUGAAGGAAGACAUGGCAAUACCACCACAGUUCUGUCUGCUGUUCAUCACAUUCUCUGUCCUGUUCCCUGCCAUGGCUGAUGUUUUUUUUACAGAAAGGACAUUCUGGCCAAUACAUAGUAGAAGUAACCAGAUUUACUCUCCUGCAUGAAACAAUGAAAAAAAAAAAUGAAGCAAAAUGCAUGAAAAAAAUGGCUGUUGAGUCACUGGACAUCAGGUAAUGAAAGAAGGAAUGAGAAACAAACAAGGUAGGCCAUGCAGUUAUCCCAGAUUCUCUAUGGAGAGAGUUUCCAGGCUGAGGCUCAGAGUGGAGAGAAUACAGGCAACCCCACUGAUCUUCCUGGGUUAGAGAGAAAGAUGCUCAAGGAUCCAAAGCAGCUGGAGUUCAUACGGCAGAGUGUCAGAAAAGAGAGAGCUGAACAGAAGAAAAGUUGGCAAAUCUUCAGAGAGUCACCCUCAAGUAUUCAACUAAGUAGUGAUCAGUGUAAGCAUUUGAGGAAACUACCUGAGGCCAAGGAAAACCCACCAAAAAGAAUGAGAGAGACCAAUACCCAGAGAAAAUGCAGGGCUGAAAAUAAUGCUUGUUCUCACCAGUGAGCAUGAAAAGCCUCAUAAUCAUAAAACUUGGGUGGAGUACUCAGAAGAGUUUACCUGAGUAGUAGGGAAUUAGCCUUACACUCCUGUGGUCUCACCUAAAAAAAAAAAUCUCAAGAGCAAGUCGAAUUGAUUAAGCUGUUUCCAAGUAAUUUAACCACAAACCAGAACAAAACUCAAUAGUGUGUGUAGGAGUACAAAAAUAUCUGGCACCCAACAAGAUAAAAUUCACAAUGUCUGGCAUUCAACCACAAAUGACCAGGUAUGCAAAGUAGGAAAACACGAUCCAUAAUAAAGAGAAAAUCAGCUAAUCAAAACUGACCCGUCUCUCAGCACGGAUCCACUGCGUUGGUGAAGACUGUGAGACUGAACUUAGGCCUGGAGAGCCUAAGCCAUAAUAAUAAAUGCCCUUUGCUUUUA
Molecule: long non-coding RNA, 1320 nt
Organism: Suricata suricatta (meerkat)
Lineage: Eukaryota; Metazoa; Chordata; Mammalia; Carnivora; Herpestidae
Exons: 3
Source: RefSeq, a predicted model, not a curated record